This is a long non-coding RNA of Scleropages formosus (Asian bonytongue), 565 nucleotides long. RefSeq lists it as uncharacterized. The transcript is spliced from 6 exons. NCBI's taxonomy places the organism in Eukaryota, Metazoa, Chordata, Actinopteri, Osteoglossiformes, Osteoglossidae. The record is from RefSeq and is a predicted model, not a curated record.
GGGGACUGUGGGAUCCAUUCUAGCCCGGAAAGAUGAUACCAAGACAGAGGAUGUUGUCUGUGAGCAACUUGGGAUCAACAUCUUCUUGGACUGACACGUGCCCACGGAGAACCUGUGGUACCGGGAGAUCUUCCUUGUCUUCAAGGUGGCUGAAACUGGCCCCGAGGAGAAGGUGAAGAAGCUCUGCCGCUACUAGUACUCCAGCAUGAAGAAGUCCAUGGGCUACUUCUCACUUACUCACUUACAGAAUGGAACUUGAAAAACCACAUUCAUCAGAAUGCUGGCAGGUUGUCUCAAGCUGAUUGAUGGAGAAGACGAGAUUAUUCAGAUCUGAGGUUUGAGCAUUCAGGGGAGGUGCCCAUCCUGAAUGUGAGCUGCAAGCCAGAGAAAAUCAGUCCAAAGUGUAAGGUGCAGAACUUGUCUGGAGGUGAGCUUCAGCAGGUGCCUCCGGCCUUGUGCCCAGGGAAGUCGGCCGACAGACAUCAAAUGGUGUGGUGGGUUCCUGCCCUGCUCUUUCCUUGGAGCAGUGCACUUCCUGCUUAAAGUAAUUUACAGUAUAUCCAGA